Long non-coding RNA from Sander lucioperca (pikeperch), 756 nucleotides. RefSeq lists it as uncharacterized. The transcript has 3 exons. Lineage: Eukaryota; Metazoa; Chordata; Actinopteri; Perciformes; Percidae. The record is from RefSeq and is a predicted model, not a curated record.
UGUUAUGAUUGAUUACCUAACCAAAUGGGCACAAGCUUACCCUCUUAAAACUAAAACGGCUAAAGAGGUAUCUGGCUGUAUCCUCAAAUUUUUUUACCAGUUUGAGGCUCCCAAGAGGAUUCUUACAGACCAGGGGAAGGAGUUUGUAAAUCAGAUCAACACUGAUGUCUGCAAGAUCCUUGGGAUAAAAAGAAGCCUUUGUGCGCCAUAUCAUCCUCAAACCAAUGGUCUUGUUGAGAAAAUGAAUGGUACCAUACAAAGGCUGCUCGACACACCACUGCCACAAGCCACAUCAAAAACCAAAAGACCACAAAAUCUAAUUUCAAGGUGGGUGACAAAGUGUGGCGGUUGAAUGUGAGAAGCCAGCAGCGAAAGGGAGGAAAGUUGGAGCCUGACUUCUUGGGGCCUUUCAAAGUCAUAGCUCUACAGGACAAGAGUGCUGAUCUGGAAAGUGAGGGAGGUCGUGGUUUUCCUAAAAUCAACACCGACCACCUGAAAAUACACACCGACAAAAAGGAAAGAAUACCACAUAAGAUCCUCAACUCCACAGGGGUAACCUCAAUCUCUGCCUCGAUCCCUGCCUCCACUCCCACCCCUGCUUCCACCCUCCACCUCUGACUCCACAACCAUCCCUACCUCCACCUCUGACUCCACAACCAUCCCUACCUCCACCUCUGACUCCACAACCAUCCCUACCUCCACCUCUGACUCCACAACCAUCCCUACCUCCACCUCUGACUCCACAACCAUCCCUAC